UUGUAGAGCUUGUCGAUACGAUCGCGUGCAUAUGUGGAACGAAAAAAUCGGAGUUCGUAUGAAUUAGUUAUGAUUUUUUGAAAAAGUUUCCAAUUUAGUAUAAAGGUUCCAUUUUCGGAAAUUUCCGAAAAUAUUUUCAGAAAUUUCCAAAAAUGGAAACCGGCUGCAGGUUUCCUCCCGAGGCCGGAAAUCGCCUCCAAACUUCUCCAAGCCAUAUCUUCAUCCUCCGGCCACCAAUCCUCACCAAAUUUCUUCCAUUGGCUUCAUAUGGUUCUUGCGCACCCGUAUGUGGUGGCCUUGCACGGCGGCGCGGCCUGUAGCUUCGGCGGCAAGAUCGUUCCGAUUUGAGUUCGAUUUGAGUCAACACCGGUUUUCUCCUAGCUCCGGCCACCAAAACUUCCGAUCCUUAGCUCUAUGAACUCGCCUCAACCUGCUGAUCAUCAUCCCAGAAGGAUCGCACCUGGAGUGACCGGUUUCACUUUCGUCGGAGCUCGACCGGUUUUCGAUCGAAAACCAAAACCUUUCGAUCGUGAUAUCUCGAGCUGUAGUGCAUCGUUUUGAUUGAUUCUUGAACCAAUGAGUUCGCAUUGAAGUUCUGAACAAGUUCCAUGCAGGAAUCGAAGCGAGUUGUUGACGUUUUUACGUUGAACGGAGCCUCUGCCGGAUUCUGGAAAUUUUCCGGCCAAACCGUGGCUUCUAGGUGAUCGACGGUUUGAUUUGGCGGACGAUUCGUGAAAUCGUUGUUUGAGCUGUUAAGAAGACGCAGCGGGAAUUUAGAGCGGGUAGUCCUGCAGGUCAGGAGGAUCAUGGCGGAGAUCGUGCGGAUUAGAGUAUUCGUUUAGUUUUACAGCUUUGUAAAUUGUGAGGUGAGUGAUGCUCAAUUGGAGCUUUACAAAUUUACUUUGUACAAGUGAGUUGUAUUAAUUAAAUUGAGGUUUUCGAGAUUUGA
Rosa chinensis is the source of this 949-nucleotide long non-coding RNA. RefSeq lists it as uncharacterized. NCBI's taxonomy places the organism in Eukaryota, Viridiplantae, Streptophyta, Magnoliopsida, Rosales, Rosaceae. The record is from RefSeq and is a predicted model, not a curated record. The transcript has 3 exons.